UCCAUGAUCCUAUGCUGCCGAGAAAAGCCUCUAGCGAGUUGGUUCACGGCCCGUACCCCAAACCGACACAGGUGGUCAGGUAGAGAAUACUAAGGCGAUCGAGAGAACUGUGGUUAAGGAACUCGGCAAAAUGCCCCCGUAACUUCGGAGAAGGGGGACCACGCCUGGUGACCCGCAUAUCGUGGUGAGCUGGGGGUGGUCGCAGAGACCAGAGAGAAGCGACUGUUUACUAAAAACACAGGUCCGUGCGAAGUCGUAAGACGAUGUAUACGGACUGACGCCUCCCCGGUGCUGGAAGGUUAAGAGGACCGGUUAAUCAUCUUUUGUGGGUGGUGAAGCUGAGAAUUUAAGCCCCAGUAAACGGCGGUGGUAACUAUAACCAUCCUAAGGUAGCGAAAUUCCUUGUCGGGUAAGUUCCGACCUGCACGAAUGGCGUAACGACUUCUCUGCUGUCUCAACCACAGACUCGGCGAAAUUGCAGUACGAGUAAAGAUGCUCGUUACGCGCGGCAGGACGAAAAGACCCCGGGACCUUCACUAUAGCUUGGUAUUGGUGUUCGGUUCGGUUUGUGUAGGAUAGGUGGGAGACUGUGAUGCCGUCACGCUAGUGGUGGUGGAGUCGUUGUUGAAAUACCACUCUGAUCGUAUUGGACUUCUAACCUCGGGCCAUGAUCUGGUUCAGGGACAGUGCCUGGUGGGUAGUUUAACUGGGGCGGUUGCCUCCUAAAAUGUAACGGAGGCGCCCAAAGGUUCCCUCAGCCUGGUUGGCAAUCAGGUGGUGAGUGUAAGUGCACAAGGGAGCUUGACUGUGAGACGUACGUGUCGAGCAGGGACGAAAGUCGGGACUAGUGAUCCGGCACCGGCAUGUGGAAGCGGUGUCGCUCAACGGAUAAAAGGUACCCCGGGGAUAACAGGCUGAUCUUCCCCAAGAGUCCAUAUCGACGGGAUGGUUUGGCACCUCGAUGUCGGCUCGUCGCAUCCUGGGGCUGGAGUAGGUCCCAAGGGUUGGGCUGUUCGCCCAUUAAAGCGGCACGCGAGCUGGGUUUAGAACGUCGUGAGACAGUUCGGUCUCUAUCCGCCGCGCGCGUAAGAAACUUGAGGAAUCCUGUCCCUACUACGAGAGGACCGGGACGGACGGACCUCUGGUGUGCCAGUUGUACCGCCAGGUGCACGGCUGGUUGGCUACGUUCGGAAGGGAUAACCGCUGAGAGCAUCUAAGCGGGAAGCCUGUUCCAAGAUGAGGUUUCUCCCCCCCUUUGCGGGGUUAAGGCCCCCUACAGACCAUGGGGUUGAUAGGCCAGAAUUGUACGCACAGUAAUGUGUUGAGGUGACUGGUACUAAUCGGCCGAGAGGCC
RNAcentral lists this ribosomal RNA (1354 nucleotides) under metagenome. RNAcentral describes it as "bacterial LSU rRNA". It matches the Rfam family "Bacterial large subunit ribosomal RNA", at positions 1591 to 2925 of the family's 2925-position model. The record is from RNAcentral.